AAGUCGUAACAAGGUCUCCGUAGGUGAACCUGCGGAGGGAUCAUUACAGAGUUGAAAAACUCCCUAAACCCACUGUGAACGUUACCAAUGUUGUUGCUUCGGCAGGCGGCCCCAGGGCGGGGCCUGAGCCUUCUGGAAAGGUGCCUGCCGGAGGACCCAAACAAAAAACUCUGUUACCGUCACCUGAGUACAAGACCGAAUUAAGUCAAAACCUUCAACAACGGAUCUCUUGGUUCUG
RNAcentral lists this unclassified non-coding RNA (238 nucleotides) under Conlarium sp. Its description in RNAcentral is "partial internal transcribed spacer region". The stretch from base 1 to 46 matches the Rfam family "Eukaryotic small subunit ribosomal RNA", at positions 1786 to 1831 of the family's 1831-position model. Lineage: Eukaryota; Fungi; Ascomycota; Sordariomycetes; Conlariaceae. The record is from RNAcentral.